Molecule: long non-coding RNA, 2167 nt
Filed under: Gossypium barbadense (sea-island cotton)
Lineage: Eukaryota; Viridiplantae; Streptophyta; Magnoliopsida; Malvales; Malvaceae
Description: long non-coding RNA (GBAR_LNC012585)
Source: RNAcentral
GAGUUAAAGUCUUGGUCGGCCGACCGACCAAACCAAGAUUAGUUUGCUGUAAUUUUUUUCCAAACAUGAUAAAAUGGUGAUAGUAAUUGGCAAUAGAGGACGAGGUAUAGAUGAUGAGGCAAAGCCGAUAGAUUGACAAAGAUGACGAGGCAAGGGGAAUGACCGACGAGCAAAUUACAGAGGUGAGGAGAGGCCAAUAACGACGAAGGUGAAGCACUGAGCAUGGACAGAGAUGAAAAGACAGGGGAAUGAUUGACAAGAAAAUUAAAAAGGUGAGGAGAGGCCAACGGCGAUAGAGAUGAAGUGGCAAGCACGGGAUCAGGGGUUAAAGAAUGAUUGCAGCUGAGGUAAGGCUUUUCUCUUUUGGUUUUGGGAAUUUAGGUUUUAGGAAAGGAUUUAAAUAGUGAUAGGGUAGCAGAAUAAAAUCGCUAUAUAGUAGCAGUGGCGCCAUCCAAAAUCGCUACUGCUGAAAAUAGUAAUGCGAAGUGGAAUCACUGUAACAGCUUAUUUUAGGGUCAAAUCAGAACAGUGAUUUUGGGACCACGAAUCUGAAGUAGAAAUAUUUAUUUCGAUAUUAUUUUAAGGUAUAUAGUAUGAUUGAAUGAUUGUGUGAAAAUUUCGUUAAGAAAUUUUAUUGAUAAGGUGUCCAAUUUAACUAAUAGGACUAAAUUGCAAUAGGUGCAAAAUGUAUGUUCUAAAAGCUAGAGGUGUCUAAUUGCUAUGAAAUUUUAAAUUGGAGGUCCUUAAAUGGUAAUUAUACCAUUAUACUUGAAGUUGGACAAAACUGAACAUGGUUAGGAGAAAUUUCAAAGUUUGGCAUUAAGGGCAUUUUGGUCAUUUGGUUAAUAAAGACAAAAUAAAACAAAUAAAAGUGUCCAUCUUCUUCAGUUUAGUCGCCUUAGCAAAAAAUUGAAAAGUCUCCAUAGUUAGGGUUUUGGCCAAGCUUUCAAGCUCAAUUAUAAGUCCGUUCUUGUACCGUUUUUAAUAAUUUUUAUAUUUUUGAGAUCGUUAUAACCUAAUCUAGCUAUUUCAGGGACUAAUUUGAAAGAAAAUCAAAGUCUAAAAUUUUACCCAUGUUGAACAUGCAUGUAUUUUGAUGUCUAAUGGUAGAAAAUGCAUGUUUGAUGUUAGAUAAACAACAUUUACCAAGUAAUUUUUGAUGUAAAUGUCAAAUACGGACUUAUUUGUAAAUAUUGUAAAAUAUGUGUAAAAAUAUGAAUAAAUGAAAAAUGUGGGCUAUUAUGAGCAAUGAAUAGGUUCAUCUAGGCUUGGGUAAUGAAUAAAUUGAAUGAAAAUCAUUUUACGAGCCUAGGGACUAAAAUGUAAAAAUUUGAAAAGUUAAGGGUAAAAAUGUAAUUUUUGCAAUAAGGUGUUUUUGGGAUUAAAUUGAAUAAUGUGAUGAUUGAAUAAGUUAAAUGUGGUAUUAUAGAUCAAGAAAGACGAGGUUCUGACCUAGACUGGGAAAAGAACAAAGUUGUGGACUAAAUCGAACUAUUAGCCAUUUUGUAUCGAGGUAAGUUCGUAUGUUAAAAAUAAGCUUUAAUAUGAUUGUAUUUUAUUGUUUUAAUAUUCCAUGAACUGUAUGUUUGAUUAAUGUGGAUGAACUUAAUCUUAUGAACAAGUCUAAAGACGAAUCGAUAAGUAAGAAAUCCCAUUUGAGCCUUAGGAAUAGGGUAGGAUACAAGUGACGUGUCACUAGGGUUAGUAUGUGUUAUGUGAUUAUGUGAUCUGGGUGCCGGUCUUGUACAUCCUACCGGUGGCUGAGUAUACCAGCAUAUGUUGCGGAUACUUGACAGCUUGUGUGAGCAGCACCGCGUAGCUACGACUUGACUGACAGCUUGUGUGAGCAGGCCCAUUGAUAGCUCGAGAGCGAGCAACUAUGUGAUAUGAGAUUGAGGUAGAUUGGCUACAUAUGUGGCACUUAGUGUGCAAUAAUCUCGAGUAUCCAACAUUAUUAUUCUGAGUGGUUCACGGGUAUGUCAAAUAUGAGAAUAUGUGUAAAUUCAUUUUCGGAUGGUUCAGGUAUGUACAUAAAGCUCAUGUUUAUUAAAUGCUUGAAAUGAUGAAAAUGAGGUAAGUUUUGUGAUAGAAUGAAUGAUGACCAUGAGACUAUGGUAAAUUUACAUUAAAUUAUGUUAUGUUAUCUGAAUGUUACAUGCAUAGUAAG